GACGAACCGUGCGAACGUUGUUCGGAUUCACUGGGCUUAAAGGGCGCGUAGGCGGCUUGCCAAGUCAGGGGUGAAAUCUUUCGGCUCAACCGGAAAAGUGCCUUUGAUACUGGCGAGCUAGAGGGGGGUAGGGGGGUCUGGAACUUCCGGUGGAGCGGUGAAAUGCGUUGAGAUCGGAAGGAACGCCCGUGGCGAAAGCGAGGCCCUGGACCCUUACUGACGCUGAGACGCGAAAGCCAGGGGAGCGAACGGG
RNAcentral lists this ribosomal RNA (253 nucleotides) under uncultured bacterium. RNAcentral's name for it is "partial 16S ribosomal RNA". It matches the Rfam family "Bacterial small subunit ribosomal RNA", at positions 524 to 776 of the family's 1533-position model. The record is from RNAcentral.